UCCAGCAGUCCAGAAUAUUAGUCAAUGCUCGAAAGAGUGAACUAGCUAACUGAAAUCAAUAAAAUAAUUGAUAACAUAAGGGAAAAUAAUGAUAUUACCUUAUUAUAAGUGUCGUCCAAAACUGGUGCCAGAAGACUCGGUAAGGCCAGAGACACAAACGUUAAUCGUCUUAAUCAGGCGUAAAGGGUUUGUAGGCGGCUUUAAAAUUUACUUAUGUCAAAAAAAAUAAUAAGUAAAAAAUAAAAGCUAGAAUCAAAUAGAGGAUAUAUGAAAGAAUGCUUAGAGUAGGUCUGAUAUCCUUAGAUACUAAGUAGAAUAUUAAAGGCGAAAGCUUUUUUCCAUUAAUGAUUGACGCUCAGAAACGAAGGUGAGGAUAGGAAAUAGGAUUAGAUACCCAGAAUACCCCUCUCUGUCAACGAUGAAUGGUAGUUAUUAGUAAAAUAUAUUAAUGGCAAUGUUAACACGAUAACCAUUCCGCCUUGUGAGUACAACUGCAAAGUUGAAAACAAAAAAAUUAGUCGGUUUCGGAGCAAACGAAGUGAAGCAUGUUAUUUAAUUCGAUAAUCCGC
RNAcentral lists this ribosomal RNA (569 nucleotides) under Russula sp. RNAcentral describes it as "SSU rRNA". It matches the Rfam family "Bacterial small subunit ribosomal RNA", at positions 347 to 962 of the family's 1533-position model. Lineage: Eukaryota; Fungi; Basidiomycota; Agaricomycetes; Russulales; Russulaceae. The record is from RNAcentral.